RNAcentral lists this unclassified non-coding RNA (331 nucleotides) under soil metagenome. RNAcentral's name for it is "partial contains 5.8S ribosomal RNA, internal transcribed spacer 2, and large subunit ribosomal RNA". The stretch from base 1 to 120 matches the Rfam family "5.8S ribosomal RNA", at positions 35 to 154 of the family's 154-position model. The record is from RNAcentral.
GAUGAAGAACGCAGCGAAAUGCGAUAAGUAAUGUGAAUUGCAGAAUUCAGUGAAUCAUCGAAUCUUUGAACGCACAUUGCGCCCCCUGGUAUUCCGGGGGGCAUGCCUGUUCGAGCGUCAUUUCACCACUCAAGCCUCGCUUGGUAUUGGGCAACGCGGUCCGCCGCGUGCCUCAAAUCGACCGGCUGGGUCUUCUGUCCCCUAAGCGUUGUGGAAACUAUUCGCUAAAGGGUGUUCGGGAGGCUACGCCGUAAAACAACCCCAUUUCUAAGGUUGACCUCGGAUCAGGUAGGGAUACCCGCUGAACUUAAGCAUAUCAAUAAGCGGAGGG